AGUGGAUGGGGAGCAACCUAGUUGUGCGUGUGUAAAGGUAGUGCCAAGAAAAGCGAUGAUCAUGUUGAAAAUCAAUUCCCGGUACCCGAAACCGACACAGGUGGGCAAGUAGAGAAUACUAAGGGGCGCGAGGUAACUCCCUCCAAGGAACUCGGCAAAAUGACCCCGUAACUUAGGGAGAAGGGGUGCCACCGAGAGGUGGUCGCAGUGAAGAGGCCCAGGCGACUGUUUAGCAAAAACAUAGGUCUCUGCAAACUCGAAAGAGGAGGUAUAGGGGCUGACGCCUGCCCAGUGCCGGAAGGUUAAAGAAGUUGGUCAGUUUUAGGAUGAAGCUAGCGACUGAAGCCCCGGUGAACGACGGCCGUAACUAUAACGGUCCUAAGGUAGCGAAAUUCCUUGUCGGGUAAGUUCCGACCCGCACGAAAGGCGUAACGAUCUGGGCGCUGUCUCGGAGAGAGGCUCGGCGAAAUAGGAUUGUCUGUGAAGAUACGGACUACCUGCAUUUGGACAGAAAGACCCUAUGAAGCUUUACUAUAGCUUGGAAUUGUGUUCGGGCUUCCUGUGCGCAGGAUAGGUGGGAGGCGUAGAAGGUAUUCUUGUGGGGAUACUGGAGCCAACGGUGAGAUACCACUCUCAGGAGGCUAGAAUUCUAACUUAAUUAAGGACAGUUUCAGGUGGGUAGUUUGACUGGGGCGGUCGCCUCCAAAAAGGUAACGGAGGCGUACAAAGGUUCCCUCAGACUGGUUGGAAAUCAGUCGAAGAGUGCAAAGGCAGAAGGGAGCUUGACUGCGAGAAGUACAGUUCGAGCAGGGUGGAAACACGGUCUUAGUGAUCCGACGGUGCUGUGUGGAAGGGCCGUCGUUCAACGGAUAAAAGUUACUCUAAGGAUAACAGGCUGAUCUCCCCCAAGAGUUCACAUCGACGGGGAGGUUUGGCACCUCGAUGUCGGCUCAUCGCAACCUGGGGCGGAAGAACGUCCCAAGGGUUGGGCUGUUCGCCCAUUAAAGCGGUACGUGAGCUGGGUUCAGAACGUCGUGAGACAGUUCGGUCCAUAUCCGAUGUAGGCGUGAGAAUAUUGAGAGGAGCCUUCCUUAGUACGAGAGGACCGGGAAGGACGCACCGCUGGUGUACCUGUUAUGAUGCCAAAUUGUAAACGCAGGGUAGCCAAGUGCGGAGAGGAUAACCGCUGAAAGCAUCUAAGUGGGAAGCCCACCUCAAGAUGAGUAUUCUGGUGUAAGGUCACGGGAAGACGACCCGUAAAUAGGCACGAGGUGGAAGUGCAGAGAUGUAUGAAGCCGAAGUGUACUAAUAGACCGUCGGCUUG
Molecule: ribosomal RNA, 1324 nt
Filed under: metagenome
Description: bacterial LSU rRNA
Rfam family: Bacterial large subunit ribosomal RNA
Source: RNAcentral